RNAcentral lists this long non-coding RNA (557 nucleotides) under Gallus gallus (chicken). The record is from RNAcentral. Lineage: Eukaryota; Metazoa; Chordata; Aves; Galliformes; Phasianidae.
GGCACAGAAAGCUCCGCAUGUCACCAGGCAGCUGCUGCAGGGUGCCCACAGUGCCCUGCGUGCCACAGCACAGCAUGCUGGGACCCAGCAGCAGGGAUGCUGGCAGUGAAUGCAGCCCUCUAGUGUCCGGGCUGCCAUCCUGGCACACAGCAGCAGCAGCGCCCUGCCCGCCUGGGAACCAUUUACCUGUUAAGAUGUUUUCAGACAUCACGUUGACCUGAACUUCCACGGAAUGCUUGGAGGUGUAGGUGAUCUCGGCACUGACGUUGGCCACCUCUCCGAUGCACAUCGGGGAGAGGAAGUCCGUCCGCUCCACGCGUGCCAACGCGGCCACGCAGGGCUCCCCCUGCCCGGAGUUGCAGUGCCGGGUGCUGAUGAUGGCUCCCGCCUCCUCGAUCAUCUUCAGCACGGUGCCGCCGUGCACGUUGCCCGCGAUGUUGGCGUCGUCGGGGCGCAUGAUCCUGGAGACCUGGAUGGUGGCCGGGCCCGGGCCCGCCGCGCCCCGCUCCGACAUGGCGGCACCGGCGCCCGCCAGCAACGGCGCUGCGGCGGCGGCG